This 250-nucleotide ribosomal RNA is filed under the name uncultured bacterium. Its description in RNAcentral is "partial 16S ribosomal RNA". It matches the Rfam family "Bacterial small subunit ribosomal RNA", at positions 524 to 771 of the family's 1533-position model. The record is from RNAcentral.
UACGUAGGCAGCAAGCGUUGUUCGGAAUUACUGGGCGUAAAGCGUGCGUAGGCGGUUUGUUAAGUCCGUUGUGAAAGCCCUGGGCUCAACCUGGGAAUUGCAGUGGAUACUGGCGAGCUAGAGUGCGGUAGAGGAUGGUGGAAUUCCCGGUGUAGCGGUGAAAUGCGUAGAGAUCGGGAGGAACACCCGUGGCGAAGGCGGCCAUCUGGACCAGCACGUGACGCUGAGGCACGAAAGCGUGGGGGAGCAA